Molecule: RNA transcript, 5535 nt
Organism: Hippopotamus amphibius kiboko
Lineage: Eukaryota; Metazoa; Chordata; Mammalia; Artiodactyla; Hippopotamidae
Gene: MLLT10
Gene name: MLLT10 histone lysine methyltransferase DOT1L cofactor
Exons: 24
Source: RefSeq, a predicted model, not a curated record
GUUGGCUCUUUGAGGCCUCGGCGCGCCGCGGGCUCCCCUCACCCCCGCCCCCCAGCACACCUCGGCGUCUGAGAGCGGCGCGGGGGAGGGAAGGGGCCGGGAGGCUGGCCUGGGCUGCCGGCCGGACGCGGCGGCGCGCACGCAGGACUCGCCUCUCCUGGGCCUUCUCCUCACGCCGGCCGCUGGGCGGGCGCGCACGCCGAGUGACGCUCGAAGGAGGAAGCGCAACCCCCUUCCCCUCCCUCGCUGCCCCUGGCCCAGCGGGAGCCCCCCCAGUGCGCCUGUGCGGAGGCCUACUUGAUUAUGUGUGCCCUCUCCGGGCUCCAGCGUUAGCGGCCGGGUGGAGGUGGGGAGGGAAGACGACGAGGAGGAGGAGGAGGAGGCGGAGGAGGCGGUGGAGGGGAGGUGGGGGGAGUCAGCAAGGACAUGGCUCCUGACUCCUGUGCGGAACGUGAGUGACUGAGCGGCAAAGCCCGAAUGGUCUCUAGCGACCGGCCCGUGUCACUGGAGGACGAGGUCUCCCAUAGUAUGAAGGAGAUGAUUGGAGGCUGUUGCGUUUGCUCAGACGAGAGAGGCUGGGCCGAGAACCCGCUGGUUUAUUGCGACGGGCACGGCUGCAGCGUCGCGGUGCAUCAAGCUUGCUAUGGAAUUGUUCAAGUACCCACUGGACCAUGGUUUUGCAGGAAGUGUGAAUCUCAGGAGAGAGCAGCCAGAGUGAGAUGUGAACUGUGUCCUCAUAAGGAUGGAGCUUUAAAAAGAACAGAUAAUGGCGGUUGGGCUCAUGUGGUUUGUGCCCUGUAUAUUCCAGAGGUACAGUUUGCCAAUGUUUCUACAAUGGAACCAAUUGUUUUACAGUCUGUUCCACAUGAUCGUUAUAAUAAGACUUGCUACAUUUGUGAUGAACAAGGAAGAGAAAGCAAAGCAGCCACUGGUGCUUGCAUGACAUGUAAUAAACAUGGAUGUCGGCAGGCUUUCCAUGUGACAUGUGCUCAGUUUGCUGGACUACUUUGUGAAGAAGAGGGUAAUGGUGCAGAUAACGUCCAAUACUGUGGCUACUGUAAAUACCAUUUUAGUAAGCUGAAAAAGAGCAAGCGGGGAUCUAAUAGGUCAUAUGAUCAAAGUUUAAGUGAUUCUUCCUCUCACUCUCAGGAUAAACAUCAUGAGAAAGAGAAAAAAAAAUAUAAAGAAAAGGACAAACACAAACAAAAACACAAGAAGCAGCCAGAACCAUCACCUGCAUUGGUUCCUUCCUUGACUGUUACAACAGAAAAAACUUAUACAAGCACUAGCAGCAACUCUAUAUCUGGAUCAUUGAAGCGCUUGGAAGAUACUGCAGCACGAUUUACGAAUGCAAAUUUCCAGGAAGUCUCUGCGCACACUACUAGUGCAAAAGAUGUUUCAGAGGCUAGAGGGUCAGAGGGCAAAGGGAAGAAAUCUUCAGCUCACAGCUCAGGUCAAAGGGGAAGAAAGCCUGGUGGAAGAAAUCCAGGAACGACUGUAUCAGCAGCUAGUCCUUUCCAGCAAGGCAGUUUUUCAGGAACUCCAGGCAGUGUAAAAUCAUCUUCGGGAAGUUCAGUACAGUCUCCCCAGGAUUUCUUGAGCUUUACAGACUCAGAUCUGCGUAAUGACAGUUACACUCACUCUCAGCAGUCAUCAUCAACCAAAGAUGUACAUAAAGGAGAGUCUGGAAGCCAGGAAGGGGGGGUAAAUAGUUUUAGUUCCAUAAUUGGUCUCCCUUCAACCUCAGCUGUUAUUUCACAGCCUAAAAGCUUUGAAAAUUCACCUGGAGAUUUGGGUAAUUCCAGCCUUCCUACAGCAGGAUAUAAGCGGGCUCAAACUUCUGGCAUAGAAGAAGAAACUGUAAAGGAAAAGAAAAGAAAAGGAAAUAAGCAAAGUAAGCAUGGGCCUGGUAGACCCAAAGGAAACAAAAAUCAAGAGAAUGUUUCUCAUCUCUCAGUUUCUUCUGCUUCACCAACGUCAUCUGUAGCGUCAGCUGCAGGAAGUGUAACCAGCUCUAGUCUUCAGAAAUCCCCCACACCACUCAGGAAUGGGAGUGUGCAGAGUCUUAGUGUGGGCUCCUCUCCACUUGGUUCAGAAAUUUCCAUGCAGUAUCGGCAUGAUGGAGCUUGUCCAACAACUACUUUCUCAGAGUUGCUGAAUGCAAUACACAAUGGUAUUUAUAACAGCAGUGAUGUAGCAGUAUCAUUUCCAAAUGUAGUAUCUGGCUCAGGAUCGAGUACUCCUGUCUCCAGUUCUCAUUUACCUCAGCAACCUUCUGGGCAUUUACAGCAAGUGGGAGCUCUCUCCCCAUCCACUGGGUCAUCUGUACCCUCUGCUGUUGCUACAACUCAGGCAAAUACUCUAUCUGGAUCUUCUCUUAGUCAGGCAUCAUCUCAUAUGUAUGGCAAUAGAUUAAAUCCAAAUUCAUCAGUGGCAGCUCUUAUAGCUCAGUCUGAAAACAAUCAAACAGAUCAAGAUCUUGGAGACAAUAGCCGCAGUCUUGUUGGCAGAGGAAGCUCACCCAGAGGAAGUCUCUCACCAAGGUCCCCUGUAAGCAGCUUACAGAUCCGCUAUGAUCAACCAGGCAACAGCAGUUUGGAAAAUCUGCCCCCAGUAGCAGCCAGCAUAGAGCAGCUUCUGGAGAGGCAGUGGAGUGAAGGACAGCAGUUUUUAUUAGAACAGGGCACUCCCAGUGACAUUUUAGGAAUGCUGAAAUCAUUACACCAACUUCAAGUAGAAAAUCGAAGAUUAGAGGAACAGAUUAAAAACUUGACUGCCAAAAAGGAACGCCUUCAGUUAUUGAAUGCACAGCUCUCAGUGCCUUUUCCAACAAUAACAACAAAUCCCAGCCCAUCUCAUCAAAUGCAUGCAUUUUCAGCGCAGAAUGCUCCUACUACUGAUUCCUUGAACAGCAGUAAGAGCCCUCAUCUAGGAAACAGCUUUUUACCUGAUAAUUCUCUUCCUGUAUUAAAUCAGGACUUAACCUCCAGUGGACAAAGCACCAGCAGCUCAUCGGCUCUUUCUACUCCACCUCCUGCCGGGCAGAGUCCAGCUCAGCAGGGCUCAGGCGUUAGUGGAGUUCAGCAGGUCAAUGGUGUGACAGUGGGGGCACUAGCUAGUGGAAUGCAGACUGUAACAUCCACCAUUCCUGCCGUGCCUGGAGUGGGUGGAAUAAUUGGAGCUUUGCCAGGUAACCAACUGGCAAUUAAUGGCAUUGUAGGAGCUUUAAAUGGGGUUAUUCAGACCCCUGUCACAAUAUCCCAGAACCCUACCCCCCUGACCCACACAACUGUACCACCUAAUGCAACACAUCCAAUGCCAGCUACACUGACUAACAGUGCCUCAGGACUAGGAUUACUUUCUGACCAGCAAAGACAGAUAUUUCUUCAUCAACAGCAAUUCCAGCAGUUGUUAAGUUCACAACAGCUUACACCAGAACAGCACCAGGCGCUUCUGUAUCAGUUGGUGCAGCAGCACCACCAGCAGCAGCACCACCAGCCUGACCUCCAGCAGCUGCAGAUCCCGGGACCCACGCAGAUACCCAUCAACAACCUGCUCGCAGGCACGCAGGCACCUCCGCUUCACCCUGCCACCACCAACCCCUUCCUCACCAUCCAUGGCGAUAAUGCCAGUCAGAAGGUGACAGUCUACUUUACUGGAGUAUAAAUGUUUCCCCUAAAUUCCAGUUCAGGGCAGAACCCUGUUAGAGGAAGGAUAUUGGGAUAUAGAAUGGAGACUGGACAUCAGGAAAAGGAAGAAGGGAAAGAAUGAGAGACUUAGUGAUAAAACUGGGCCUGUUGCUCAAGAAAAAAGUUGACACUUGAGAAACAUCUAGAAAUGGCCUGUCCUGCUGUUCUAGCACUUCAUCUGGCUGCUGUUGCAGUCCUCUUACUACACCUAAUGAAGAAAUGCAACAGGAAACUAGCUGCACGACUAAGGAUUAAUUGCCACAAGAACAUUCUUGUAAGGCUUUGAUUGAUUUUCUUGUUGCUUUGUUGCACUGAAAUGGAAUUCCCAUAUCCCCCACCCCUCACCCAGAUUUUUUGAACUUUGAAAGAAAAUUUAAUAGCUAACUUUUGUCAAUGAAAUAAUUUACAUGCAAUGAGUUUAUCAACCUAAGAGAAAUUUAAUAUAGUUGGUGCACAACUAAUUUUGUUAUAAAUUGGAGAGAUGAAUAGCAAAACUAAAGACUUGUUCCAUUUAUAAACCAUUUGAUUUUAUUGUACAAGUUGGAACAUGAAAUAUGAUCUUUUGUUUGGGUUACAGUAUGCUUGCUCUAUGAGUCAAACCUUAAAACAAAUUUCAAGGAACUGUCUAAUUUCUUCUACUGGAGUUUUAUUGAUUAAAUAUUACAAAUAAACAGGUCAUCCACUGGGACUUGGCAAUCUUUGUUAUAAAAAUUUCCUUUCUAAUGGGAUUUGGCCAAUUUUGGUAAUCAGGUUAGGAUGGUAAAUGUCUGCUUCUGCUAAAGGUAAUUUUCUUUUGCUAAAUGCAUUUUCUUUAGUUUUAAGACCUACUCAUAUUUUAAAGAAUCCUUAAGUUAAGUGAGUUCUAAGGCUGCUGAGGGAACCAGCUCAAUUCAAAGUGAAAGAGGGGCCACUCUGGAAACUCCUGGUAGGGUUUGGCCUGAAUCAAGUGCCUGUAAGUACCUGCCUUGUGCUGAAGUGGCUCUGGACAGCUGAGCCUGUGCUCUCAGUCCUUGGGAGUAGUAGGAACAGUCGGCGUUGCACCAGCAGCCUUCCCCAUGGUUCUGCCUUUAUUAAGAACUUUCUAUGCCACUGUAGCUAGCUCAGGCAAAACUAUUACCUGGGUAUUUAUCCACUAAUGAGUCACAAGAAAAAUGAGUGGAUUUGGUAAGAAUUUUCUUUUUUUCUUAAGUUAGACAACUUCCCAUUGUCGAUGAUUUCAAACAAACAAAACAAGACUAGAAACCCACCACCGCAGUUCCUGAAACAGGUGAAAUCUGCAUUACAGCCCUUCCUCGUUGGGUAGCCCCACUCCUGGUGUGACAGUAUAGCAGAGUAUAAAUUAAACAAUUGGAGAUGUAAUCAUUGAACUAUUCUUAAAUGUGUGAAUUAUUAGUGGAAAAGACCCAGCUGUAAUUAGACCUCCACUGUGUACUUAGCUGGAAGAACAUGUUAAUUCUGCAAUAUGUCUCUUGGUUAAACAUUGCACAGUUCUUACCUCAUUUCUGUAAAUAAGGUUUUGUGAAUCUGUUUUGUAUUGUGAAAAAUUCAUAAGAUAACACUGAUAUUUUGAUUUGUAAUAUUUCUAAUUGGUAGAUUAAUUGAAAAGUAAAAUUAAUUUAUUUUUAUAUGUUCAGGGGAAUUUUAAACAAAGUCAAAUCUUUUGUAGAUAAUUAAAAAAAAUCGGUGUGGUUUAUUUUACUUAUUUAACCCACUGGUUGUUAUUCUGUAACAAUUUGUAUAAAUGGUAAAUUUUGAAUGUGUUGUUAUUUUACUUAGGUGUAAAAUUCCACAUGUAUUAAAGAAAAUGUACAAAGUUUUUGUUAAUAAAAUUUAAUAAUGUUUAUAA